RNAcentral lists this ribosomal RNA (446 nucleotides) under uncultured bacterium. Its description in RNAcentral is "partial 16S ribosomal RNA". It matches the Rfam family "Bacterial small subunit ribosomal RNA", at positions 338 to 795 of the family's 1533-position model. The record is from RNAcentral.
CCUACGGGGGGCAGCAGUCGAGAAUUAUUCACAAUGGGGGAAACCCUGAUGGUGCGACGCCGCGUGGGGGAAUGAAGGUCUUCGGAUUGUAAACCCCUGUCAUGUGGGAGCAAAUUAAAAGGAUAGUACCACAAGAGGAAGAGACGGAUAACUCUGUGCCAGCAGCCGCGGUAAUACAGAGGUCUCAAGCGUUGUUCGGAAUCACUGGGCGUAAGGCGUGCGUAGGCUGUUUCGUAAGUCGUGUGUGAAAGGCGCGGGCUCAACCCGCGGACGGCACAUGAUACUGCGAGACUAGAGUAAUGGAGGGGGAACCGGAAUUCUCGGUGUAGCAGUGAAAUGCGUAGAUAUCGAGAGGAACACUCGUGGCGAAGGCGGGUUCCUGGACAUUAACUGACGCUGAGGCACGAAGGCCAGGGGAGCGAAAGGGAUUAGAUACCCGGGUAGUC